ACACCUCUAGCUCAACUGGUAGAGCAGCGGCCUCCAAAACCGUAGGUUCUGAGUUCAAAUCUCGGGGGGUGUG
RNAcentral lists this transfer RNA (73 nucleotides) under Clavibacter phage CN1A. It matches the Rfam family "tRNA". From Rfam's summary of the family: Transfer RNA (tRNA) molecules are approximately 80 nucleotides in length. Their secondary structure includes four short double-helical elements and three loops (D, anti-codon, and T loops). Lineage: Duplodnaviria; Heunggongvirae; Uroviricota; Caudoviricetes. The record is from Rfam by way of RNAcentral.